GUCUUUAAAUUAACCAUUCGUAUAAUUAGCAGCUUCAAUCUUACACUCUCUUGCUAGGCCAAUGAGCAUUAUGCUUCCUGGUUCUUUGUUGAGCCCCCCUUGUGUACUCUACGCUGAAUGUAGCCAACUACACUAUUUUGCGGUAAUUCGAAGGCCAGUGUUUUCAACCACGUGCAGCUUCAUAAACUUCGCACAGACGACGAGAAGAACGCUGAGUUGCGCAGACUCUGAUCGCGCAUUUUCCAUGACCUACAGGCGGCCACGAGCGCAACAUUACGAAAUCUUACCAGAAUACGAAUUUGAAUCAAUUACAUGACCCCCACGCUGCCCGUUUCUCCAUGAUUCAAGAAGGCAAUGAGCCCCGUCGGGUCUUUUAAAAAAUGGCGGGUGGGGAAGCGAAACUAAUGCGUGAUAGUGGUAAGGAGAGAUGUGUGGGAAAUUUGCUUUUUUUCACUCGAUCUGUCCAACUUAUCACCAUAUUGCCUCUAAAAUGUAAAUAAAACACUAUAAAGAGAUUAUAUAAUGU
Long non-coding RNA from Oncorhynchus tshawytscha (Chinook salmon), 526 nucleotides. RefSeq lists it as uncharacterized. The record is from RefSeq and is a predicted model, not a curated record. The transcript has 3 exons. NCBI's taxonomy places the organism in Eukaryota, Metazoa, Chordata, Actinopteri, Salmoniformes, Salmonidae.